RNAcentral lists this ribosomal RNA (465 nucleotides) under uncultured bacterium. RNAcentral's name for it is "partial 16S ribosomal RNA". It matches the Rfam family "Bacterial small subunit ribosomal RNA", at positions 28 to 507 of the family's 1533-position model. The record is from RNAcentral.
GACGAACGCUGGCGGCGUGCUUAACACAUGCAAGUCGAACGGAAAGGCCCUGCUUGCAGGGUACUCGAGUGGCGAACGGGUGAGUAACACGUGGGUGAUCUGCCCUGCACUUCGGGAUAAGCUUGGGAAACUGGGUCUAAUACCGGAUAGGAGCCAUCUUUAGUGUGGUGGUUGGAAAGUUUUUUCGGUGUAGGAUGAGCUCGCGGCCUAUCAGCUUGUUGGUGGGGUAAUGGCCUACCAAGGCGGCGACGGGUAGCCGGCCUGAGAGGGUGUACGGCCACAUUGGGACUGAGAUACGGCCCAGACUCCUACGGGAGGCAGCAGUGGGGAAUAUUGCACAAUGGGCGCAAGCCGGAUGCAGCGACGCCGCGUGGGGGAUGAAGGCCUUCGGGUUGUAAACUCCUUUCGCUAGGGACGAAGCUUUUUGUGACGGUACCUAGAUAAGAAGCACCGGCUAACUACGUG